RNAcentral lists this ribosomal RNA (270 nucleotides) under uncultured archaeon. Its description in RNAcentral is "partial 16S ribosomal RNA". It matches the Rfam family "Archaeal small subunit ribosomal RNA", at positions 477 to 747 of the family's 1478-position model. The record is from RNAcentral.
CAGCACCUCAAGUGGUCAGGAUGAUUAUUGGGCCUAAAGCAUCCGUAGCCUGCUUUGUUAGUUUUCGGUUAAAUCCAUACGCUCAACGUAUGGGCUGCCGGGAAUACUGCAAAGCUAGGGAGUGGGAGAGGUAGACGGUACUCGGUAGGAAGGGGUAAAAUCCUUUGAUCUACUGAUGACCACCUGUGGCGAAGGCGGUCUACCAGAACACGUCCGACGGUGAGGGAUGAAAGCUGGGGGAGCAAACCGGAUUAGAUACCCGAGUAGUCC